GGGGGGGGGGGGGGGGGUAGUAUCUGAAUGAUGGUUAGAUGGAUCUUGUUUUCGGCAAGGGAAGCUAGAGGCCCACUUGAAUCAGCAAUAAACAGUAGAUGCAAGCUUAAAAUUUGGUAACUGAAUGGUGGGUAGAUGCUGUCUCAAAUUUUGGCAAGGGAAGCUAGAGGCCCCGUUGAAUAACCAAUGAACAGGUAAACUUCUUACCCAACUUCUUUUUUGUCCUGCUAUGUAUGGUCACAAACAUGGUCAAUUGCACUUUUUUUUUUCUGCAAUCUGGCAUAUAACCAAAGUCAUUUGCAGCUGCCCGCUCCUUGCAUUGCAUCCCCAGAUUUUUGCCCCUUUAGUUUCUGAAUUUUGGUCCAUUUUGUCCUAGGUUCAAAUUGUAGGUCAAAGGCAUUUUUGAGUUCAAUACCUGGAAUUUUUCAAUGCUGAUCUGUUUACUCAAUUUGCAUGGAAUUCACCAUGCGCAAUCGGUUUGUCAUAAGCAACGCAAUUGCAUUUGUCUCUGACUAAAAUUGCAGACCUGCAUUUUGGCAUCCUGUUUUGUUGUUGAUUAUUGGUUGUUGUACAGAGGAUGUAUGCUUUUCUGGGAUUGUUUUUGGUUUGAUUUUUGACACUGACUGCGAGCCAUAGUUUGAAUUUACCCAGAGAGCAAAAAUUUGGCUAGCAACAGGGGGAAUUUGACAUGGUUAUCUGGUAUCACUGAAAGUAUUCCUUUUGAGUAGAAACGCAUCAUCGAUAAUUAUGGAUUUUCUUUCGUGUUCCACCUUAAUUCAUUUGGAGUUCCACGUUCCUUUGCCCAAUGGUUAGCGGACCACACCCAGGCUGAAAGUUCUGACAUCAUCGUCGAUAGUGGUGUCGUCCAUCUUAGCGUUGAGUCCUUUUCUGAAGUUAUUGGGCUAGAAAACUCUGGAUUGGAUGUAAAUGCUGAUUUUGAUGGUUCAUAAGAUCUGAUAAUCUUAUGAUGUAUCUAUUCUAUAUUUUCUAAAAUUGCAGAUUGCACUACGCCGUGCCCUUAAUUGCAGCACCCUUUUAGGAUGUUAAAUACCGUACUGAAAUUGAUUCAUUCUGGUUAUUUAUUUCUGACCCUUUGUUGUGUGCCCAUGUAGUUCAAAUUUGCACUACUAUAUACUCCUAGUUGCAACACUGUAACAUCUGCAUUUCAAAGCUUAACGAAGUGCAAUUGAUAA
Brachypodium distachyon (stiff brome) is the source of this 1193-nucleotide long non-coding RNA. RefSeq lists it as uncharacterized. Lineage: Eukaryota; Viridiplantae; Streptophyta; Magnoliopsida; Poales; Poaceae. The record is from RefSeq and is a predicted model, not a curated record. The transcript has 2 exons.